AUCCAUCGUUUAGGUAAAAUUACCUCUCAGAAAUAAUGCUAAUUCUAUUUUUUUUUUGUUUCCUGUUUCUAAAAAUCUCUUGGUCAUCUUUGAGGCUUGAGGAAAGUAGCAAACUGGAGAUUUACAGAAAUAUGCAGCUCUUUACAAAAUGUAACCGUCAGUUUACCCGGUGGGUUUAUGUUUUUAGGAUUUGUGAUCUGUUUCCGGUAGAAAAUGAGGGAGAAUUAUAGUGAGAAUUGGACAUUGUAGAGCCUCAUUCCCAAAGGUAUGGGAGGUCUAAUAUAUAGAGAUGCAAUGCAAAUAUUCCUUCUUUUUAUGUUGUUAUUGUUUCAGUUAUGUAGUGAUAAAUGGAAACCCUGAAGCUUAUCCUAAGAUAAGUGUAUCUUAUAAUGAGUUUAAAUAGCAAGUGAAAAUACUAAAUUCAUUGUGAUGUGAAUAGAGCUUGGCCUUCCUCUUUAACUGUUGAAGGUAUUAAAACAAAAUGGAAAACAUUUGGCUUCCUGAAUGACAUGGCUGCAGUCAACAUGCUGAGCUGGUGAUGAAGCAUGAACCCUUGAUUUUGCAACACCAGAGCAAAGCACCAGAUUGUAAACAUGGCUGUGUGGAUCCAGGCCCAGCAGCUGCAAGGAGAUGCCCUUCAUCAGAUGCAAGCCUUGUAUGGCCAGCAUUUCCCCAUCGAGGUGCGCCAUUACUUAUCCCAGUGGAUCGAAAGCCAACCUUGGAGAACAUUAAGGCCACCCAGCUCCUGGAGGGCCUGGUGCAGGAGCUGCAGAAGAAGGCGGAGCACCAGGUGGGGGAAGAUGGGUUCUUGCUGAAGAUCAAGCUGGGGCACUACGCCACGCAGCUGCAGAACACGUAUGACCGCUGCCCCAUGGAGCUGGUCCGCUGCAUCCGGCACAUUCUGUACAAUGAGCAGAGGCUGGUCCGAGAAGCCAACAAUGGUGCCUCUCCAGCCGGGAGUCUUGCCGACAUCAUGUCCCAGAAACACCUUCAGAUCAACCAGACCUUUGAGGAGCUGCGGCUGGUCACGCAGGACACCGAGAACGAGCUGAAGAAGCUGCAGCAGACUCAGGAGUACUUCAUCAUCCAGUACCAGGAGAGCCUGAGGAUCCAGGCUCAGUUUGCCCAGCUGGCCCAGCUGAACCCGCAGGAGCGUCUGAGCCGGGAGUCAGCCCUGCAGCAGAAGCAGGUGUCCCUGGAGGCCUGGCUGCAGAGAGAGGCCCAGACGCUGCAGCAAUACCGCGUGGAGCUGGCCGAGAAGCACCAGAAGACCCUGCAGCUGCUGCGCAAGCAGCAGACCAUCAUCCUGGAUGACGAGCUGAUCCAGUGGAAGCGGCGACAGCAGCUGGCCGGGAAUGGGGGGCCCCCUGAGGGCAGCCUGGACGUGCUGCAGUCCUGGUGUGAGAAGUUGGCCGAGAUCAUCUGGCAGAACCGGCAGCAGAUCCGCAGAGCUGAGCACCUCUGCCAGCAGCUGCCCAUCCCCGGCCCCGUGGAGGAGAUGCUGGCCGAGGUCAAUGCCACCAUCACAGACAUCAUCUCCGCCCUGGUGACCAGCACGUUCAUCAUUGAGAAGCAGCCCCCUCAGGUCCUGAAGACCCAGACCAAGUUUGCAGCCACCGUGCGCCUGCUGGUGGGGGGGAAGCUGAACGUGCACAUGAACCCCCCCCAGGUGAAGGCCACCAUCAUCAGCGAGCAGCAGGCCAAGUCGCUGCUCAAGAACGAGAACACCCGCAAUGAGUACAGCGGGGAGAUCUUGAACAACUGCUGUGUGAUGGAGUAUCACCAGGCCACAGGCACGCUCAGCGCCCACUUCAGGAACAUGUCCCUGAAACGCAUCAAGAGGUCUGACCGUCGUGGGGCAGAGUCAGUGACCGAAGAAAAAUUCACAAUCCUGUUUGAAUCACAGUUCAGUGUUGGUGGAAAUGAGCUGGUCUUUCAAGUCAAGACCCUGUCCCUCCCGGUGGUGGUGAUUGUCCACGGCAGCCAGGACAACAACGCGACGGCCACGGUUCUCUGGGACAAUGCUUUUGCGGAAUCUGGCAGGGUGCCCUUUGCCGUGCCUGACAAAGUGCUGUGGCCGCAGCUGUGUGAAGCGCUCAACAUGAAAUUCAAGGCCGAAGUGCAGAGCAACCGGGGCCUGACCAAGGAGAACCUCGUGUUCCUGGCGCAGAAGCUGUUCAACAGCAGCAGCAGCCACCUCGAGGACUACAACAGCAUGUCCGUGUCCUGGUCCCAGUUCAACAGGGAGAAUUUACCAGGACGGAACUACACUUUCUGGCAGUGGUUUGAUGGGGUGAUGGAAGUGUUAAAGAAACAUCUCAAGCCUCAUUGGAAUGACGGGGCUAUUUUGGGUUUCGUGAAUAAGCAACAGGCCCACGAUCUACUCAUUAACAAGCCCGAUGGGACCUUCCUGCUGAGAUUCAGCGACUCUGAAAUCGGCGGGAUCACCAUCGCUUGGAAGUUUGAUUCUCAGGAAAGAAUGUUUUGGAAUCUGAUGCCUUUUACCACCAGAGACUUCUCCAUUCGGUCCCUGGCCGACCGCCUGGGGGACCUGGAUUACCUUAUCUACGUGUUCCCCGAUCGGCCGAAAGAUGAAGUAUACUCCAAAUAUUACACACCAGUUCCAUGCGAGCCUGCCACUGCUAAAGCCGUGGACGGAUACGUGAAGCCACAGAUCAAGCAAGUGGUCCCUGAGUUUGUGACGUCUGCAGACUCUGCUGGGGGCAGUGCCACCUACAUGGACCAGGCCCCCUCCCCGGCUGUGUGUCCCCAGGCUCAUUACAACAUGUACCCACAGAACCCUGACCCCGCCCUUGACCCCGACGGGGACUUCGAUCUGGACGACACGAUGGACGUGGCGCGCCGCGUGGAGGAACUCUUGGGCCGACCUAUGGACACUCAGUGGAUCCCUCAUGCGCAGUCGUGACCUCCGUCAGCUUCUUGGUCCUCGCGAGAGGAGUUCCUCUUGUGGAUGUUUUAAUUCCAUGAAUCGCUUCUCUUUGGAAACAAUACUCAUAAUGUGAAGUGUUAAUGCUAGUUGUGACUUUAGUGUUUCUGUGCAUGGUGACCCCAGUGCAGGGAGCGUGUGUGUGUGUGUGUGUGUGUGUGUGUGUGUGUGAGUGUGAGUUUGUCCGUGUGGUGUUCCUCCCCCUUGCUGUCCAGACAGAGGCCGUGGUGGUUUGAACCUUGUGCACAAAGGCAGUUGGCUCCACGAGCCCUGGCACAUGGCCGUGUGUCUUGAGGGUGGCUGGACUUUGACGUGUGGCUGUUCAAGUAAGAGAAGGACGCAGGGAGGAGAAAGCACCUCCUCUCUGUCCCUCUGUGUGCACACACGUGCAGAUGAACUAGAGGGCAGAAGAGAGGGUCACGCCACCGGAGCUUACAGUGUCGGUGUCCUUUGUGUCGCGGCCAGAGUGGAAUGCCCAGCCCUGACCCGCAGGCGCCGAGAACGUCGCCUCGUCGCCCAGGGAAGCUGCCGUCCCAUCUGCCCGUGCUUCCUCCGCGCUGGGAGGCCGACCGAUGCCAGCUCUUCGCAAAUGUCGGACGGUGUUUUUGCUUCUAACUUGGGACUUCUUGUUUUCCCCUCCCCACCCUCAUCUGACAGCGAAGUUCUCUCUUCCUGUGUCAGGUCCUGUGCCAUUCCUACCCAGGUCACCUCAUUUCCCUUCACUGAUCGUGCGCGAUGUCUCGGGGAGCGGGUGGCAGGAGUGCGGUCCGAACCCGGGGCCAGCAUGUCCAGCAGGUGUUGCCCACCUGGUGCAGGGUGCUGGGUGUCAGGCUUUGGGGGUUUGGGGAAAUGCAGUCAGCAGGUUUGCGGGAAGUUUGGUAAGCUGCAGAAACAAAAAGCCUCAAGCAUAAUUCCGUCUGUAGUUUCUUCCAUGGCUCCACGCCAGAGGAAGGGAUGGGCUGUGGCAGGCAGGUGGGAAGAGAGGGGAGCAGGUAUAGUUUUCAGGUUAGGCCUAUAAGGUCGCCCCCAGCCCCCUCUCCGAAAGGAUAUGACUAGGCCCAAGAAAUAAUGGCCCUAAAAACCGUAUUUUUAUAUGUGUGAGUAAAUAAACAUAUUUUUUUUACAAAAACUAA
Myotis lucifugus (little brown bat) is the source of this 4080-nucleotide RNA transcript. It is a transcript of the gene named signal transducer and activator of transcription 5B, with no coding region annotated. The transcript is spliced from 20 exons. Lineage: Eukaryota; Metazoa; Chordata; Mammalia; Chiroptera; Vespertilionidae. The record is from RefSeq and is a predicted model, not a curated record.